RNAcentral lists this ribosomal RNA (505 nucleotides) under uncultured bacterium. RNAcentral describes it as "partial 16S ribosomal RNA". It matches the Rfam family "Bacterial small subunit ribosomal RNA", at positions 28 to 507 of the family's 1533-position model. The record is from RNAcentral.
GACGAACGCUGGCGGCGUGCCUAAUACAUGCAAGUAGAACGCACAGUUUAUACCUUAGCUUGCUCCACCAUAGACUGUGAGUUGCGAACGGGUGAGUAACGCGUAGGUAACCUGCCUGGUAGCGGGGUAUCACUAUUGGCAACGAUAGCUAAUACCGCAUAAUAUUGAUUAUUGCAUGAUAAUUGAUUGUAAGAUGCUAUUGCAUCACUCCCAGAUGGACCUGCGUUGUAUUAGCUAGUAGGUGAGGUAACGGCGCACCUAGGCGACGAGACAUAGCCGACCACCAAGGGUGAUCGCACACACUGGGACUGAGACACGGCCCAGAACCCUACGGGAGGGAGCAGGAGCGAAUCUUCGGCAAUGGACGAAAGUGUGACCGAGGAACGCCGCGUGAGUGAAGAAGGUUUCCGGAUCGUGAAGAUGUGUUGUAAGAGAAGAACGGGUGUGAGUGUGGAAAGUUCACACAGUGACGGUAUCUGAACAGAAAGGGACGGCUAACUACGUG